UAACUUCAUGAUUGAUUGCCUA
RNAcentral lists this non-coding RNA (22 nucleotides) under Arabidopsis thaliana (thale cress). The record is from RNAcentral. Lineage: Eukaryota; Viridiplantae; Streptophyta; Magnoliopsida; Brassicales; Brassicaceae.